AAGAAAACACCAAGGUCAUCUUCAACUGAUGGCUAGCCAGAAGACUCGUUUUAACCAUCUAACCCUCCAAGAUCCUCGAAGAUAUUAAUAUUUUAAUGAACAGUACAUGGACAUAUUUGCCUCCGUCUCCAACUGACACACCCCGAUCCGGAGGAUCCAGGUGUGCUGGCCGUCACGUGAGCGUGACGUAACCAUAAGUGCGACACGGAAGCGAAAUAACAACAUAAAUCAGUAGAAAUUCAAACCAAACUCAAACAUAACCACCUACGAACAUAACCGGCCGAGUUAUAAAGUAAACACAUAAGUUCAGAGCAUAGGUUAACUGCAGUCAAGUAGGACUAAAAUAAAAUACAUCACCCUCAGGUGAGUCCUACAUGUCGAGAGUCUGUCAGAAAGCCGGAAAAGACCUCGAGAGCCACCAACCGCUAAAUUAGAACCUGGAGGGGCGCAAAACAAAAUGAGUGGGUCAAUAAAACCAAAGAUUUUCCAAAACACUUCAUUUAAAACAUUUCUAACCCCUCACCGUAAAACCUGUAUACUUUCCCAGAAAAAAAAAAUAUAUAUAAAACCAUAUGAAAUCUCAAACUUAAAUCCCAAAUCUUUAACAUUUUUCAAGAAAAACAUGUCAUGCCAUAAAUCAAAAUAUAAAAAUCAGGUGAAAUAAGGAAUCAAUCGGAGACCCUGCAGUUGGUCCUAUACGAUUAAUUCAAUAGCUCAAUAUCCCACUAAGCCGGAGUCACCACAGUGACCUAUACGGCCCUACUCUGCACAUCACUCGGAACUACGUAAGGUGGUCUAUACGAUGAAAGGUGUAAAAAUACGCUCUAGUGCUUCUCUCAUCAUAUCAUCAGCGCGCAUAACAAGGUCACCCACUAGUCGGAAUCACGCCUAGUGAUCUAUACGACUAGCAUGUCGGAACCCUCACACGGUCUGUACGACAUCCACCUACUUGGAUCCAAGACGAGCGUGCGGUGUGGUGAAUAAUAUAAGCACUAACACCUAGGGUGCAGGUUAUGAGCUCAAAACAUCUCAACAACAACCAAUUCAAUGAAUAAAUGAACUCACCUGACUUACAUGUGCCUCCACUGCACCAUGCAACAUGUAUGCAUCAUAAAUCAAUCAUAUAACUCAUAUGCAAUUCACAUUUUUCAAAUAAUUCUAUGCAUGGCAUUUUCUAAAACAUAUUUUCACAUAAAUUCAUUUUCUGGGAAAAAUCAAUAGUAUAAAGGUAAUACGAAAACAAAACUGCCCACUCACUGAUAAGUCGACGGGUCGUAACCCCCGUGGCGUCCCUUGAUGUGGUCGUCCUCGGAAUACGUCUCACCUAUAUGCGAAACAACUAUAAAAACGUUAAUUUUUAAAACACAUCACCAAUAUUUCGAAAUAACUUCUUAUACGAUGCUCAAUUUGGGUAUAUGAAUAUACCACAUCGACCUACUCGACGUCACGAGCGUCGGGAAAUUUUUAGAAAAAAAUUUGGAGGGCUCACGUGCCCCCACGCGCCGCACGUGGUACGGGCCUACGUGCCCCCCACGCGCCCCUCUUCUUCUUUGGGUCGCCAAACUGGUUUUUCCGGCGACCGGAUUCCGGCCAAUUUUAAAACCUCUUGUUCUCCUUCGUUUUUCACCUAUUUUCUUCGUAUUUUAUAUCAAAUUGAAGCCCCAAACAUGUAGAAUCACGUUGGACUAGUUUUAGGGCCUAAAAUCAAGAAAUAUCACCGGGAAAAUUCCAAGAAUUCGGCCAACUUUGAAACCCACGAUCCCGACGUCCAAAACUCUCCAACGAACGUCCCCGAGCUUCCUUAGGACCUCCUAAAGCUCACUACAAGCUUAGAAUUCCCUGAAACACGACAUUUAACGUGUGCAUGAACAGUAACUCAAAAAUGGGGAUUCAGGUUCUACGCAAUUUCGAAGGUUUCACUUCCUAAAACUAGCACCAAUGAACUUAGAACGUCGAAAGGAUGAAGAUGCAUACCUUGGUUGCCUCGAUCCGUCGAGUUUUGGAGGAUUUGGGGUGAGAGCCGUACGUUUUGGGUGUGUGUGUGCGAGAGAGACGGUGAGGGAGAGAGACAGAGAACCACGGGUUGGGAGAAAGAGAGAGAGAGAGCAGGAGGGUUGUGAUGUCCCCAAAAACAAUCUCAACCAUCCAUUUUUCUAAUUUCCUAAACAACUUAAUCAAAAUCAAAUCAAUAAACCAAUUCACAUAAAUAUUUUCUUUUACCCUUACAUAAUCUUUGAACCAAUAACAUCACACACACACGUACCUUAGUAACGUCAAGGGCAUUUCCGUCAUUUCACAUCCCCGUCAAAAGUACCUCCAGGACGGGCUGUGACAAUCUUCCCUCCUUAGAGAAUUUCGUCCCCGAAAUUCCCAUAACCAAUUAAACCAUUUAAUACUCGUAGAAUAAUCUUGGGUACAUCUCUCUCAUCCGAUCUUCCGUCUCCCAGGUAGCUUCCUCAACAGAAUGGUUCCUCCACAACACCUUCACCAAACUCACCGUCUUGUUCCUUAGAACCUUAUCUUUCCAAUCCAAUAUCAUGAUUGGUUCCUCAUCAUAAGUCAAGUCCGGAUUAAUCUCUAGCGGUUGAGGAGGAAUCACAUGAGAAGGAUCAGAAAUAUAAUGUCGAAGCAUAGAGACGUGAAACACAUUAUGGACCUUAGAUAACUCCGGAGGCAGCUCCAACCUGUAGGCAACUUCACCAACUCUUUCGAUGAUCACAUAAGGUCCAAUGUAUCUCGGACUUAGCUUCCCUCUUUUUCCAAAUCGCACCACACCUCUCCAAGGUGACGAUUUCAAAAAUACCCAAUUACCCACAUCAUACACUCGAUCAGUAGUAUGCUGAUCCGCUAAACUCUUCUGUCGAUCCUGGGCUGCUUUCAGGUUUGACUUAAUUAUCUGAACAUUUUGAGUUGUCUCUUCUAUAAUCUCAGGGCCUUCUAACACUCUUUCACCAACCUCAGACCAACAUAAUGGCGUUCGACACGCCCUACCAUAAAGUGCCUCAAAUGGUGACAUACCAAUGCUCGAGUGAAAACUGUUAUUAUAAGCAAACUCCAUCAAAUCCAGGCGAUCAUGCCAGGAGUCACUAAAUUGUAAUACUGAAGAUCUCAACAUGUCCUCCAACGUCUGAAUAGUCCUCUCUGAUUACCCAUCAGUUUGAGGAUGAUAAGCUGUGCUAUAAAGCAAUUGUGUACCCAGAGCUUCCUGAAAAGCCACCCAGAAUUUAGAAGUAAAUCUUGGGUCUCGGUCAGAGAUAAUAUUUACUGGAACUCCAUGAUACUUUACAAUCUUUGAAAUAAACAACUUAGCCAAUUUAUUCAGAGGGUAUUUCUCCCUAACUGGAAUGAAAUGCGCUGAUUUGGUAAGUCGAUCUACAAUCACCCAAAUACCAUCAAAUCAAUUUCGUGUACGAGGAAGUUUAUACACGAAGUCCAUGGUUAUAUUUUCCCAUUUCCACUGGGGAACGGGAAGUGGCUGCAUUCGCCCAAAUGGUUUCUUUCUUUAUGCUUUCACUUGCUGGCAAAUAAUACAUCUACUCACAUAUUCUGCAAUUUCUCUUUUCAUACCCGGCCAAUAAUAAAAUGGUCGAAUGGUAUGAUACAUUUUAGUUCCUCUCGGGUGCAUCGCAUAAGCUGAACAAUGCGCUUCAUCCAGAAUUUCCUUCUUCAAUUCUUCAUUAUUCGGAACAUACAUUCUGUUUUCUUGCAUGAGCAUACCAUCCGAUUCCUGAAUUCUGAGGUCUUUCUUUUUCCCUUCAAUUCUUAACUGAACCAACUCCUGAAUCUCCUCAUCCACCAUCUGAGUUGCGAGUAUACGGUCCACCAAAACUGGCCUGACUUGAAAACUAGCAAGAAAAGCUCCGCUUAUGUUUUCAAACUCCAACCUUACUCCCGUUGUCCUCAAUUCAGCAAGAAGAGGGACACGACUAGCAUAUAAGGCAUUAAGCCUGCCUUGAGGUUUCCUACUCAGAGCAUCCGCUACCACAUUAGCACGACCUGGAUGAUAUUCAAUAGUACAAUCAUAAUCACUUAGCAAUUCCAUCCACCUUCGCUGACGAAGAUUAAGAUCAUGCUGGGUAAACAGAUACUGAAGACUCUUGUGAUCAGUGAAGAUCUUACACUUCUCACCAUACAAAUAAUGCCUCCAAAUCUUUAAAGCAAAAACAAUUGCUGCCAAUUCAAGAUCGUGAGUAGGAUAGUUCUUUUCAUGAUUUUUCAACUGCCUAGAAGCAUAGGCAAUCACCUUAUUAUGCUGCAUCAAAACACAUCCCAAACCAUUUAAGGAAGCAUCACUAUAAAUUUCGAAAUUACCGCUAUCAUCAGGAAGUACUAACACUGGAGCAUGAGUGAGGCAAUAUUUCAAUUGUUGGAAACUCCGCUCACAAUUUUCAUCCCACUCAAAUUUAACAUCCUUCCUGGUCAACUUUGUUAACGGUAAAGCAAUCAUAGAGAAAUCCUGAACGAACCGUCGAUAAUAACCUGCUAAACCAAGAAAACUGCGUACCUCAGUGACCGUUCGAGGUUGCUCCCAAUUCUCCACCGCUGCUAUCUUUUGAGGAUCAACUUGAAUUCCUUGAGCCGAUACAACAUGCCCCAAAAAUGCCACUUCAGUCAACCAAAUUGACAUUUACUGAACUUGGCAUACAACUGAUGCUCCCUCAAUUUCCUUAACACCAAAUUAAGGUGUCGAAUAUGAUCUGCUUGAGAUUUAGAGUAUACCAGAAUAUCAUCAAUAAAAACAAUAACAAAUUUAUCAAGAUAUUGCUGGAAUACCUCAUUCAUCAAUCUCAUAAAAGCUGCAGGUGCAUUAGUCAACCCAAACGGCAUAACCAGAAAUUCAUAAUGUCCGUACCGAGUCCGGAAAGCUGUCUUAGGUACAUCAUCUUCUUUAAUCUUCAACUGAUAAUACCCAGAUCUCAAAUCAAUCUUAGAAAAAUACACACGCACCUUUCAGUUGAUCAAACAAAUCAUCAAUGCGAGGCAAUGGAUAACGGUUUUUAAUCGUUACCCUGUUCAAUUGUCUAUAAUCAAUACACAAUCACAGAGUUCCAUCCUUCUUCCUCACAAAUAAUACUGGGGCACCCCAAGGUGAAGAACUAGGUUGAAUAAAACCUUUAUCAAGUAAUUCUUGCAACUGGAUUUUUAAUUCUCUUAACUCAGCAGGAGCCAUUCUAUAAGGAGUUAGAGAUAUAGGAUCAGUACCUGGAAGUAAAUCAAUGGCGAAUUCCACCUCUCUCUCUGGUGGUAACCCCGGCAAAUCAUCAGGGAAUACAUCCGGAUAAUGUCUGACCACGUCAACUUCUUCUAUACUAGUAGAAACCACAUCAUUUAAUACCACAUGUGCUAAAUAUCCCUGACAACCCUUCGAUAAUAAUUUCCUCGCCCUUAUGGCAUAAAUAACACCAUGUCUCACCCCACUUCUCUCUCGCCCACAAAAGUAACCUCGGGUAGUCCAGGACGAUAAAAAGUAACUGAUUUACCAUAACAAUCAAUAUGGGCACGAUUAUAAUGCAACCAAUCAUCCCCUAAAAUCACAUCAAAAUCCACAAUGUCUAACGGAAUAAGAUCAGCUGACAUAAUCACGCCCUUAACCAUCACUGGACACCCAAGAUACACAUUAUCAACAUAACAUUUAUCUCAUCUAGGCAUGGCAAACUCUAAAUCAAAUCCUAGAGGUGAAGGGUGAGGUUGUGUCAUUUGAGCAAACGUAUGAGAAAUCACAGAGUGCGUAGCACCACAAUCAAUCAAAAUCUUAGCAAAAUGACCAAGAACAUUCAACGUACCCAUGAUCAAGUCUGGAUGGUUAUGAGCCUCCUGCAGUGAAAUAUGAUUAACUCGUCCCUGAACCUGCUGUCAUCCACCUCGACCUCUACUGCCCUGAUUACCUCGUCCCUGAGGAUUACGCCCCUGGCCUGGCUGACUAGGCUGCCUGGAUGAUCCUACACCACCAGUAGUAACUUCCCCCUGACGGGGCUGGCCUCCCUGAUGCCACUGCGAUCCACCAGCUGGCAUAGAGGGAUAAGAUGAAUAACCUCCAAAAUCCUGAGAAUACCCAGCCUGAGAAUGAGGCUCCUGGGAAUACUGAUAAGGUCCGGGAGCAUACGGAGCAGCAUCCCCCUGGUAGUGGUAGGCACCACCACGACUCGGCUGGCCAUAACCGCCUGAUCCAAAACUCUGCUGGACCAGCGCUGGAGGUGGCAUAGUGGUCUGAUGUGGUCUCUGCUGACCCUGGGGACACUGAGAAGCCCAAUGUCCCAUUUUCCCACAAGUAAAGCAAGCACCACAACCUCUCCUACACUCACCAUGGUGACGAAAGUUACAACGACGGCACCACGGAGCGCCAGAACCACCUGCACCACCAGAAUCCCUUUGUCCCUGAAAUCUGGGUCCACCAGAAAAUCUUCCACCUCCUCUCCUCGGGCCAGUAAAACUAUAUCCCCCACUAGAAGAACUCGAACUCGUUCCACUCUUCUUAAAAUUCUGUGUCUGUCGAGGUCCCGGAAUGGAGAUACCCUUACCUUUAUCAUUCUUCUUCUGACCCUCAUUCUUGUCCUCGUCAUCCUCACUGUCAGGAAGAUUGUCAGAGUCCUCCAUCCUAACCAAAAUCUCGAAAUACUCAUGAUAAUCGGUGCAGGGAAGUGCAUUGGCAAAGGUACGCCACUUCUUCUUAGAUCCCAACUUAAAACGUCGAAGCAUCUCUCCCUGAUUACCAGCUGUAUCAGGGUCAUAACGAGACAAAUCAGUAAACUUUCUAUAAUAUUCAUGCGCCGACAUAUUUCUCUGUGUUUCAACCUGGUGAAUUCUUGCUUCUUACGAUCAAUAUACUCUGGAGGGACGAAUCUCUUCAUAAAAUUCUCUUUUGAACACUUUCCAGUCGGCUGCCAUCUCAGGUGACAUGUACCUAGUCUGAUUCAUCCACCAAGCUGCUGGUUCUCGACGACCCAAAAACCAAGUGGUGGUCUCCACCCACCUAUUAGCAGGGAGAUUCCCCUGACUCUGCAUCACCUGGAAGGUCUUCUCAAUAUGAUCUAGCCAUUUCUCUGCCCCCUCAUGACUUUCAUUACCCAUAAAACGAUCUAACUUCAAGUUGUACAUGGUCUCCAGAGGUGUCCUCGGAGGAGGGGGGGACGAAUCACGUUCUGCAAAGCCUGGGCCAUCGCUUCCCCUAACUGAGUGAUAUCCGGGAAAUUAGGUUCAGAAGUACGGCGGGACUCCCUACGCUCUCUACGAGGCGGCAUGAUUCUGACAGAAAACAUCAAAAGAUCGUUAAGACAUUAACAAAUUUACAGGACUGCAACCUAAGCUCUGAUACCAAACUGACACACCCCGAUCCGGAGGAUCCAGGUGUGCUGGCCGUCACGUGAGCGUGACGUAACCAUAAGUGCGACACGGAAGCGAAAAUAACAACAUAAAUCAGUAGAAAUUCAAACCAAACUCAAACAUAACCACCUACGAACAUAACCGGCUGAGUUAUAAAGUAAACACAUAAGUUCAGAGCAUAGGUUAACUGCAGUCAAGUAGGACUAAAAUAAAAUACAUCACCUUCAGGUGAGUCCUACAUGUCGAGAGUCUGUCAGAAAGCCGGAAAAGACCUCGAGAGCCACCAACCGCUAAAUUAGA
RNAcentral lists this long non-coding RNA (7620 nucleotides) under Malus domestica (apple). Its description in RNAcentral is "long non-coding RNA (MDOM_LNC021032)". The record is from RNAcentral. Lineage: Eukaryota; Viridiplantae; Streptophyta; Magnoliopsida; Rosales; Rosaceae.